Molecule: ribosomal RNA, 403 nt
Filed under: bacterium
Lineage: Bacteria
Description: partial 16S ribosomal RNA
Rfam family: Bacterial small subunit ribosomal RNA
Source: RNAcentral
UGGGGAAUAUUGCACAAUGGGGGAAACCCUGAUGCAGCGACGCCGCGUGAACGAAGAAGGUAUUCGUAUCGUAAAGUUCUGUCCUAUGGGAAGAUAAUGACAGUACCAUAGAAGAAAGCUCCGGCUAAAUACGUGCCAGCAGCCGCGGUAAUACGUAUGGAGCGAGCGUUGUCCGGAAUUAUUGGGCGUAAAGGGUACGCAGGCGGUUUAAUAAGUCGAAUGUUAAAGAUCGGGGCUCAACCCCGCAAAGCAUUGGAAACUGAUAAACUUGAGUAGUGGAGAGGAAAGUGGAAUUCCUAGUGUAGUGGUGAAAUACGUAGAUAUUAGGAGGAAUACCAGUAGCGAAGGCGACGUUCUGGACACAAACUGACGCUGAGGUACGAAAGCGUGGGGAGCGAACAGG